This 592-nucleotide ribosomal RNA is filed under the name Rhodosporidiobolus odoratus. RNAcentral describes it as "eukaryotic LSU rRNA". It matches the Rfam family "Eukaryotic large subunit ribosomal RNA", at positions 66 to 664 of the family's 3401-position model. The record is from RNAcentral. Lineage: Eukaryota; Fungi; Basidiomycota; Microbotryomycetes; Sporidiobolales; Sporidiobolaceae.
CAAUUGAGACCCGGAGCAGCGGCGAGCGAGCGGGAAGAGCUCAAAUUUAUAAUCUGGCACUUUCAGUGUCCGAGUUGUAAUCUCUAGAAGUGUUUUCCGCAUUGGACCGCACACAAGUCUGUUGGAAUACAGCGGCACAGUGGUGAGACCCCCGUAUACGGUGCGGAUGCCCAAUGCUUUGUGAUACACUUUCGAAGAGUCGAGUUGUUUGGGAAUGCAGCUCAAAUUGGGUGGUAAAUUCCAUCUAAAGCUAAAUAUUGGCGAGAGACCGAUAGCGAACAAGUACCGUGAGGGAAAGAUGAAAAGCACUUUGGAAAGAGAGUUAACAGUACGUGAAAUUGUUGGAAGGGAAACGCUUGAAGUCAGACUUGCUAUUCGGGGCUUGCUCCGAGUUGCAGGCCAGCAUCAGUUUUCUGGGGUGGAAAAUCACGGUUAGAAGGUAGCAACUUCGGUUGUGUUAUAGCUUUCCGUUGGAUACAUCCUGGGGGACUGAGGAACGCAGUGUGCUUUUAGCAGGAGCUUCGGCUUCAUCACACUUAGGAUGCUGGUGGAAUGGCUUUAAACGACCCGUCUUGAACCCCGGGAACACCAG